CCCUUAGAUGUUCUGGGCCGCACGCGUGCUACACUGAUAUUGCCAAUAUGUCGUUCUUAUCCGAAAUGGAUUGGGUAAUCAAGUAAUGAAAUUUCAUGCUUGGAAUCGGUAAUUGCAAUUUUAUCGUGAACGAGGAAUUCCUAGUAAGCACUAGUCAUCAGCUAAUGUUGAUUAUGUCCCUGCCCUUUGUACACACCGCCCGUCGCUACUACUGAUUGGGUGUUCAAGUGAGAUGCUUAGACCCUUGUUGCAUGGUUCAUUAUUGUGCUCCGAAAGGAAAAAGUUUCAAGCUUGAGUGUCUAGAGGAAGUAAAAGUCGUAACA
RNAcentral lists this ribosomal RNA (323 nucleotides) under uncultured eukaryote. RNAcentral's name for it is "partial 18S ribosomal RNA". It matches the Rfam family "Eukaryotic small subunit ribosomal RNA", at positions 1470 to 1796 of the family's 1831-position model. The record is from RNAcentral.